Lutra lutra (Eurasian river otter) is the source of this 749-nucleotide long non-coding RNA. RefSeq lists it as uncharacterized. Lineage: Eukaryota; Metazoa; Chordata; Mammalia; Carnivora; Mustelidae. The transcript is spliced from 3 exons. The record is from RefSeq and is a predicted model, not a curated record.
ACUCCGGCCACCCUGGCCUCCGGCUGCGCUCCGAGCUGACUGAGCCUGAGACUGGUUCAAGUUUGAGAAGUUUGAAAGACAAAUAGAUAAUUGGAUGCACAGAGAUGAAGCCAAUGUGUUUUGUAAAAGAAUCAAAUGGAAACUAAUGAUGUGGAACCCAACGUUGUCAAGGCAGUGAUGAGCUUCAUCUACGAGGUGGGGAAGCUCCUCCAUCUGACAAAAUGGCAGAUGACUUGAGUGGUUUCUAACAAUGCUGGGGUCCUGUGCCUUGUGGCAAUGUUCUGCUCGAAUUAGACCACCUAGGGACUGUAGUUCCAAACCAAAGCUGUUUUAAAUCUUUCACUUGCUUGCUUCUGUACUCCUUUGUCAGCUUCAUAACAUAUCAACUUCUUUUACAUGCACUUCCUUUAUCUGACUUUUUAAAAAAAUUAUAAAUUGUUGGGCAUUCUAAUAAAUGUUUCAGUGUUUCCUGAUGCCACAUCAUUGAAAGUUAACAAAGUGUUUUUAAAAUCACUAUAAAGUGAAUUUUAUAGUGGCUGUACUCUAAUUGAUGAAAGAUUAGAAACAUUUUUUUAAAUGAAUCUAAGAUAUUUAACAAGUUCAUUUAAUUUCUUAGAAGGCAUAGAAAGCAUUAAACCAAAAUACUUCUGUUGAGUCAUUAUUAAUUGCAAGAAAUUGAUUGAGUGGAAAUGAAAACAAUUCAGAAUGUGACUAUGUCAUCUUAGAGCUUGUGAAAAUCAGAGAAGGGA